RNAcentral lists this transfer RNA (71 nucleotides) under Fukomys damarensis (Damara mole-rat). It matches the Rfam family "tRNA". From Rfam's summary of the family: Transfer RNA (tRNA) molecules are approximately 80 nucleotides in length. The record is from Rfam by way of RNAcentral. Lineage: Eukaryota; Metazoa; Chordata; Mammalia; Rodentia; Bathyergidae.
GGGGAUAUAGCUCAGCGGUACAGCACCUGCCUGGCAAACACAAGGCCCUGAGUUUGAUUCCUGUAACCCCG